Molecule: long non-coding RNA, 1309 nt
Filed under: Cyanistes caeruleus (blue tit)
Lineage: Eukaryota; Metazoa; Chordata; Aves; Passeriformes; Paridae
Description: lncRNA (ENSCCEG00000017160.1)
Source: RNAcentral
CUUUCAAUGGCCUGACAAAGGCACCAGUGUCAAAUUCAGUGUUGCACACUAAGCAACAACUGCAAAGAGUUAUGUGGACAGCCCCACACGUUGUUUCAUGCAAUAAUGAACCCUGCUAAUGCCACCUGUGGGCACUGGCCUUUGGCUACCAAUGGGCCUGGCUUUCUCCUCCAAAAAAAGAAAGGUCACAGUAUCUUUGUGGCCAGGAGGCCAAGGCCUACUCACCUGGCUUGUAGCAGAAUUACAAAGCCCAGUGACUAAAACUGCCGUGCUGCCUCUCAAUACCCAGCAAUUGCAUGAAGGAAGCCUUUAAUGUGACCCUUGGGGGUCUGGCAUCAGCCUUCACAUCCAUGUGGGAACAGCUACAGAGAUCUAUACAGAGCUUUCAGAGUGCCAGCUUCUCAGCUCAGUGCUGUUUGCUUCCUUUCUCCCUCUCUUUGCCUACUGCUCUGUUUCUUUCCCAGGGUCUGUCUUUACAUGUGGCACCUCCCAGCCAAAGACCCUCCCCUGAUUUUUUUUUUCCCCAAUUCACAUGCUAAAGCAACCCUUGAUGAAAUUCCAAAGGCUGGCAGUGAAAUGUCAAGAUCUUGCUCCACUUGGCUUUCAGUCCCUUCAGAGCUUUGCCUUAAAGCACAGGAGCAUCUUAUCCUUGCUGGGAGCUGGAAUUCCAGAGCAUUGCAGUGUGUGCCAUGGACCACAGAGGGAAUUCCCGAGGCUCUCAGGUGCUGGUUCUGCCGUGCCUCUCGAGGGAGCUGUGCAGGUGCAGGUGCAGGGGACAAGGUCCUGAAGCUCUGUGGGCUCCCAGAGCAGGCAGCAAAGGCUUCUCUGCUGGGCAUUUUCAAGCACAUUCCCAGCUGAAAGCAGAGACCAGAAGAAAAGGGAAGUGAGGAGCUGACAAUCCCGGGAUGCUUGCGGCUGGAAGGGGCCCUGUGCAGGUGUUACGAGCCCAUGAGGGAGAGAUGCCUCUGCCUGAAUGAAGCUGCAAAGGAGGCCAUGUGAGGACAACGUAGGGAUUUUAAUUAACAUGGAUUUUAGGGAGGUAGGGAGGUAGAAAGAAAUAGCAAAAAGGUCUCAGAGAGAAAAAGAGAGAGAGAGAGAGAGAGAAAACAAUCAGCUGGAACUAAAUGAUCUUUAAGGUUUUCCCUUUCAUUCUGAGAUUCUAGAAGGUGUGGAUUUUGAUAUUAUUACUUACUACUACUAUAAUUUCAUCUCCUUCAUCUUUUUAUUCUUAUUUACUAUUACUAGUAUUUCUUUUUCUUCAUCUUAGUAAUUGUUCUUUUCAUUGUUUUUCUAACUCAUUAAUUAAUAC